UACGGGGGCUCCAAGCGUUGUCCGGUAUCAUUGGGCGUAAAGAGUUAUGUAGGCGGUCUUAUAAGUUAUUGGUUAAAUCUCCCGGCUCAACCGGGAAUCUGCUUGUAAUACUGUAAGACUAGAGAUAAUCAGGGGAAGAUAGAACGCAUGGUGUAGCGGUAAAAUGCUUUGAUAUCAUGCGGAAUACUAAAGGCGUAGGCAAUCUUCUGGGAUUUUUCUGACGCUGAGAUACGAAAGCGUGGGGAGCAAAACGG
RNAcentral lists this unclassified non-coding RNA (254 nucleotides) under Patescibacteria group bacterium. RNAcentral describes it as "contains 16S-23S intergenic spacer region". It matches the Rfam family "Bacterial small subunit ribosomal RNA", at positions 524 to 776 of the family's 1533-position model. The record is from RNAcentral.